GGGGUUGUGGCUCAGAGGUAGAGCGCUUGCCUACCAUGUGUGAGGCACUGGGUUUGAUCCCCAGCACCA
RNAcentral lists this transfer RNA (69 nucleotides) under Urocitellus parryii (Arctic ground squirrel). RNAcentral's name for it is "Spermophilus parryii (Arctic ground squirrel) tRNA". It matches the Rfam family "tRNA". From Rfam's summary of the family: Transfer RNA (tRNA) molecules are approximately 80 nucleotides in length. Lineage: Eukaryota; Metazoa; Chordata; Mammalia; Rodentia; Sciuridae. The record is from Rfam by way of RNAcentral. RNAcentral also lists the same sequence under 1 other name.